UGGAGUGCGUCCGAGCGCUGCCGCUGGCCUGUGUACUGCACGAGCUCGGAGCCGGACGCAGCCGAGCAGGGCAGCCGAUCAGACCGGGAGUGGGUGCCGAACUACUGGUCGACGUGGGCCAAUGGUUGUCCCGCGGGACACCCUGGCUCCGCGUGCACCUGGACGGCCCCGCGCUCAGCAGUCAGCAGCGCCGCACUCUUCUGGGGGCUCUCGUGCUGUCAGAUCGAGCACCCUUCAAGGCCCCUUCACCCUUCGCUGAGCUUGUCCUCCCACCGACCACCCCAUAGCCCUAAAUCUCCAACCCAUCGCUGCCAGUGAGUUCUCCAACAAGGGAUGGGACUGGAGCUUCAGGUCCAUGAUGCUACUGGCUCUAGGGCCCAAAGCUUGGCCCAAGCUCUCUCAGUUCAAACCCCUUCUCAGGAUCUCAAGGGGUGAAACUCUGCACAUAAAUUCCCGGCAUUGGUCGGGGCAAGGCCAAGGCCAACACCAAGGCCCUGGGCUAAGGACUAGACUGUUGAUCACUGCCCUGUUUGGGGCUGGGCUAGGCUGGGCCUGGCUGGCCGCUAGAGCU
This 571-nucleotide long non-coding RNA is filed under the name Rattus norvegicus (Norway rat). RNAcentral's name for it is "long non-coding RNA NONRATT027242". Lineage: Eukaryota; Metazoa; Chordata; Mammalia; Rodentia; Muridae. The record is from RNAcentral.